Molecule: ribosomal RNA, 207 nt
Filed under: uncultured bacterium
Lineage: Bacteria
Description: partial 16S ribosomal RNA
Rfam family: Bacterial small subunit ribosomal RNA
Source: RNAcentral
UGCGUAGGCGGCUUUUUAAGUCGGAUGUGAAAUCCCUGAGCUUAACUUAGGAAUUGCAUUCGAUACUGGAAGGCUAGAGUAUGGGAGAGGAUGGUAGAAUUCCAGGUGUAGCGGUGAAAUGCGUAGAGAUCUGGAGGAAUACCGAUGGCGAAGGCAGCCAUCUGGCCUAAUACUGACGCUGAGGUACGAAAGCAUGGGGAGCAAACA